GAUGAACGCUGGCGGCGUGCCUAAUACAUGCAAGUCGAACGAGUUCUCGUUGAUGAUCGGUGCUUGCACCGAGAUUCAACAUGGAACGAGUGGCGGACGGGUGAGUAACACGUGGGUAACCUGCCCUUAAGUGGGGGAUAACAUUUGGAAACAGAUGCUAAUACCGCAUAGAUCCAAGAACCGCAUGGUUCUUGGCUGAAAGAUGGCGUAAGCUAUCGCUUUUGGAUGGACCCGCGGCGUAUUAGCUAGUUGGUGAGGUAAUGGCUCACCAAGGCGAUGAUACGUAGCCGAACUGAGAGGUUGAUCGGCCACAUUGGGACUGAGACACGGCCCAAACUCCUACGGGAGGCAGCAGUAGGGAAUCUUCCACAAUGGACGCAAGUCUGAUGGAGCAACGCCGCGUGAGUGAAGAAGGCUUUCGGGUCGUAAAACUCUGUUGUUGGAGAAGAAUGGUCGGCAGAGUAACUGUUGUCGGCGUGACGGUAUCCAACCAGAAAGCCACGGCUAACUACGUGCCAGCAGCCGCGGUAAUACGUAGGUGGCAAGCGUUAUCCGGAUUUAUUGGGCGUAAAGCGAGCGCAGGCGGUUUUUUAAGUCUGAUGUGAAAGCCCUCGGCUUAACCGAGGAAGCGCAUCGGAAACUGGGAAACUUGAGUGCAGAAGAGGACAGUGGAACUCCAUGUGUAGCGGUGAAAUGCGUAGAUAUAUGGAAGAACACCAGUGGCGAAGGCGGCUGUCUGGUCUGUAACUGACGCUGAGGCUCGAAAGCAUGGGUAGCGAACAGGAUUAGAUACCCUGGUAGUCCAUGCCGUAAACGAUGAAUGCUAGGUGUUGGAGGGUUUCCGCCCUUCAGUGCCGCAGCUAACGCAUUAAGCAUUCCGCCUGGGGAGUACGACCGCAAGGUUGAAACUCAAAGGAAUUGACGGGGGCCCGCACAAGCGGUGGAGCAUGUGGUUUAAUUCGAAGCAACGCGAAGAACCUUACCAGGUCUUGACAUCUUUUGAUCACCUGAGAGAUCAGGUUUCCCCUUCGGGGGCAAAAUGACAGGUGGUGCAUGGUUGUCGUCAGCUCGUGUCGUGAGAUGUUGGGUUAAGUCCCGCAACGAGCGCAACCCUUAUGACUAGUUGCCAGCAUUUAGUUGGGCACUCUAGUAAGACUGCCGGUGACAAACCGGAGGAAGGUGGGGAUGACGUCAAAUCAUCAUGCCCCUUAUGACCUGGGCUACACACGUGCUACAAUGGAUGGUACAACGAGUUGCGAGACCGCGAGGUCAAGCUAAUCUCUUAAAGCCAUUCUCAGUUCGGACUGUAGGCUGCAACUCGCCUACACGAAGUCGGAAUCGCUAGUAAUCGCGGAUCAGCACGCCGCGGUGAAUACGUUCCCGGGCCUUGUACACACCGCCCGUCACACCAUGAGAGUUUGUAACACCCGAAGCCGGUGGCGUAACCCUUUUAGGGAGCGAGCCGUCUAAGGUGGGACAAAUGAUUAGGGU
This 1491-nucleotide ribosomal RNA is filed under the name Lacticaseibacillus casei. RNAcentral's name for it is "bacterial SSU rRNA". It matches the Rfam family "Bacterial small subunit ribosomal RNA". Lineage: Bacteria; Bacillati; Bacillota; Bacilli; Lactobacillales; Lactobacillaceae. The record is from RNAcentral.